Molecule: ribosomal RNA, 253 nt
Filed under: uncultured bacterium
Lineage: Bacteria
Description: partial 16S ribosomal RNA
Rfam family: Bacterial small subunit ribosomal RNA
Source: RNAcentral
UACAGAGGGGGCGAGCGUUAUUCGGAAUUAUUGGGCGUAAAGGGCGUGUAGGCGGCCUUCUAAGUCUGCUGUGAAAGUCCAGGGCUCAACCCUGGGAUGUCAGUGGAUACUGGAAGGCUCGAGUCCGGAAGAGGCGGGUGGAAUUCCUGGUGUAGCGGUGAAAUGCGCAGAUAUCAGGAGGAACACCAAUGGCGAAGGCAGCCCGCUGGGACGUGACUGACGCUGAGACGCGAAAGCGUGGGGAGCAAACAGG